RNAcentral lists this ribosomal RNA (407 nucleotides) under uncultured bacterium. Its description in RNAcentral is "partial 16S ribosomal RNA". It matches the Rfam family "Bacterial small subunit ribosomal RNA", at positions 28 to 526 of the family's 1533-position model. The record is from RNAcentral.
GACGAACGCUGGCGGCGCGCUUAACACAUGCAAGUCGAGCGAAGCGGCGGACGGGUGAGUAACACGUGAGUAAACUGCCUUAGACAUUGGGAUAGCCUCGGGAAACCGGGAUUAAUAACAAAUGGUCUACGGGGGACGCGCGUGCCAUUCGAUAGUUGGUGAGGUAACGGCCCAGCAAGGCGACGAUGGGUAUCCGGCCUGAGAGGGUGAGCGGACACAUCGGAACUGGGAAACGGUGCAAACGCGACGGGAGGGAGCAGUGGGGGAUAUUGCACAAUGGAGGGAACUCUGAUGCUGCGACGCCGCGUGAACGAAGAAGGCUUGCGAGUCGUAAAGUUCUUUUAUAUGGGAAGCGGUACCAUAAGAAAAAGCCCCGGCUAACUACGUGCCAGCAGCCGCGGUAAUUC